AAAAUGGUUCCUUUAGGAACCCCACUUUUCUUUAUUCUAGUGAAAU
Non-coding RNA from Cephalotus follicularis, 46 nucleotides. Lineage: Eukaryota; Viridiplantae; Streptophyta; Magnoliopsida; Oxalidales; Cephalotaceae. The record is from Rfam.